GAUGAACGCUGGCGGCGUGCCUAAUACAUGCAAGUCGAGCGAACAGACGAGGAGCUUGCUCCUCUGACGUUAGCGGCGGACGGGUGAGUAACACGUGGAUAACCUACCUAUAAGACUGGGAUAACUUCGGGAAACCGGAGCUAAUACCGGAUAAUAUAUUGAACCGCAUGGUUCAAUAGUGAAAGACGGUUUUGCUGUCACUUAUAGAUGGAUCCGCGCCGCAUUAGCUAGUUGGUAAGGUAACGGCUUACCAAGGCAACGAUGCGUAGCCGACCUGAGAGGGUGAUCGGCCACACUGGAACUGAGACACGGUCCAGCCUCCUACGGGAGGCAGCAGUAGGGAAUCUUCCGCAAUGGGCGAAAGCUUGACGGAGCAACGCCGCGUGAGUGAUGAAGGUCUUCGGAUCGUAAAACUCUGUUAUUAGGGAAGAACAAAUGUGUAAGUAACUAUGCACGUCUUGACGGUACCUAAUCAGAAAGCCACGGCUAACUACGU
This 496-nucleotide ribosomal RNA is filed under the name uncultured bacterium. RNAcentral describes it as "partial 16S ribosomal RNA". It matches the Rfam family "Bacterial small subunit ribosomal RNA", at positions 28 to 506 of the family's 1533-position model. The record is from RNAcentral.